RNAcentral lists this ribosomal RNA (1838 nucleotides) under Salmonella enterica subsp. enterica serovar Bovismorbificans. Its description in RNAcentral is "partial 23S ribosomal RNA". It matches the Rfam family "Bacterial large subunit ribosomal RNA", at positions 1001 to 2823 of the family's 2925-position model. The record is from RNAcentral. Lineage: Bacteria; Pseudomonadati; Pseudomonadota; Gammaproteobacteria; Enterobacterales; Enterobacteriaceae.
ACGUCCGUCGUGAAGAGGGAAACAACCCAGACCGCCAGCUAAGGUCCCAAAGUCAUGGUUAAGUGGGAAACGAUGUGGGAAGGCCCAGACAGCCAGGAUGUUGGCUUAGAAGCAGCCAUCAUUUAAAGAAAGCGUAAUAGCUCACUGGUCGAGUCGGCCUGCGCGGAAGAUGUAACGGGGCUAAACCAUGCACCGAAGCUGCGGCAGCGACGUUUAUGCGUUGUUGGGUAGGGGAGCGUUCUGUAAGCCUGCGAAGGUGGCCUGUGAGGGUUGCUGGAGGUAUCAGAAGUGCGAAUGCUGACAUAAGUAACGAUAAAGCGGGUGAAAAGCCCGCUCGCCGGAAGACCAAGGGUUCCUGUCCAACGUUAAUCGGGGCAGGGUGAGUCGACCCCUAAGGCGAGGCCGAAAGGCGUAGUCGAUGGGAAACGGGUUAAUAUUCCCGUACUUGGUGUUACUGCGAAGGGGGGACGGAGAAGGCUAUGUUGGCCGGGCGACGGUUGUCCCGGUUUAAGCGUGUAGGCUGGUUUUCCAGGCAAAUCCGGAAAAUCAAGGCUGAGGCGUGACGACGAGGCACUACGGUGCUGAAGCAACAAAUGCCCUGCUUCCAGGAAAAGCCUCUAAGCAUCAGGUAACAUCAAAUCGUACCCCAAACCGACACAGGUGGUCAGGUAGAGAAUACCAAGGCGCUUGAGAGAACUCGGGUGAAGGAACUAGGCAAAAUGGUGCCGUAACUUCGGGAGAAGGCACGCUGACAUGUAGGUGAAGUGAUUUACUCAUGGAGCUGAAGUCAGUCGAAGAUACCAGCUGGCUGCAACUGUUUAUUAAAAACACAGCACUGUGCAAACACGAAAGUGGACGUAUACGGUGUGACGCCUGCCCGGUGCCGGAAGGUUAAUUGAUGGGGUCAGCGCAAGCGAAGCUCCUGAUCGAAGCCCCGGUAAACGGCGGCCGUAACUAUAACGGUCCUAAGGUAGCGAAAUUCCUUGUCGGGUAAGUUCCGACCUGCACGAAUGGCGUAAUGAUGGCCAGGCUGUCUCCACCCGAGACUCAGUGAAAUUGAACUCGCUGUGAAGAUGCAGUGUACCCGCGGCAAGACGGAAAGACCCCGUGAACCUUUACUAUAGCUUGACACUGAACAUUGAGCCUUGAUGUGUAGGAUAGGUGGGAGGCUUUGAAGUGUGGACGCCAGUCUGCAUGGAGCCGACCUUGAAAUACCACCCUUUAAUGUUUGAUGUUCUAACGUGGACCCGUUACCCGGGUUGCGGACAGUGUCUGGUGGGUAGUUUGACUGGGGCGGUCUCCUCCUAAAGAGUAACGGAGGAGCACGAAGGUUGGCUAAUCCUGGUCGGACAUCAGGAGGUUAGUGCAAUGGCAUAAGCCAGCUUGACUGCGAGCGUGACGGCGCGAGCAGGUGCGAAAGCAGGUCAUAGUGAUCCGGUGGUUCUGAAUGGAAGGGCCAUCGCUCAACGGAUAAAAGGUACUCCGGGGAUAACAGGCUGAUACCGCCCAAGAGUUCAUAUCGACGGCGGUGUUUGGCACCUCGAUGUCGGCUCAUCACAUCCUGGGGCUGAAGUAGGUCCCAAGGGUAUGGCUGUUCGCCAUUUAAAGUGGUACGCGAGCUGGGUUUAGAACGUCGUGAGACAGUUCGGUCCCUAUCUGCCGUGGGCGCUGGAGAACUGAGGGGGGCUGCUCCUAGUACGAGAGGACCGGAGUGGACGCAUCACUGGUGUUCGGGUUGUCAUGCCAAUGGCACUGCCCGGUAGCUAAAUGCGGAAGAGAUAAGUGCUGAAAGCAUCUAAGCACGAAACUUGCCCCGAGAUGAGUUCUCCCUGAGACUU